Molecule: ribosomal RNA, 384 nt
Filed under: Eusphyra blochii
Lineage: Eukaryota; Metazoa; Chordata; Chondrichthyes; Carcharhiniformes; Sphyrnidae
Description: partial small subunit ribosomal RNA
Rfam family: Bacterial small subunit ribosomal RNA
Source: RNAcentral
GCCCAACCACAAACUUAAACAAUACUUCACCAUAUUGUUCGCCAGAGUACUACAAGCGCUAGCUUAAAACCCAAAGGACUUGGCGGUAUCCCACACCCACCUAGAGGAGCCUGUUCUAUAACCGAUAACCCCCGUUCAACCUCACCACUUCUUGCCAUUACCGUCUAUAUACCGCCGUCGUCAGCUCACCCUGUGAAGGGCUAAAAGUAAGCAAAAUGAAUAAAACUUCAAAACGUCAGGUCGAGGUGUAGCAAAUGAAGUGGAAAGAAAUGGGCUACAUUUUUUUAUAAAAACACACGAAUGGUAAACUGAAAAACACCUAAAGGUGGAUUUAGCAGUAAGAAGAGAUUAGAGUGCUCUUCUGAAAUUGGCUCUGGGAUAAGC